UUCUUUCUCUCCUUCUUCUCUUAUUCAUUUUUCUUUUAUUUUGGAACCAAUCUUUGAAACAAGGUUUCUCUCUCAAUUCUUACCGGAUUUAGGUGCCAUUUGAGGCAAAACGAAGCCCACAACGAGCUCUACGCACUAGUACGAACAAUUUUAGAUUCGGCGCUUCCUAGGGAGUUCGAAAUUAGAGACCCAUUUUGAGGGUUUUCGCAUUUGAAGAGGAAAUGGGAAAGAAGUGGCGGAUGAAAAUCCCCCGCAAGCUUGAAGAAGAUUAGGAGUUGUAUUUUGUUAUCUUUUGUAUCUUAGCCCAUUUUUUUGGUAUAGUCUCAAAACUAAAAUGUCGUGUAUUCAUUUUUGCAAGCUAAGGUAGUGUAUUAUAAAUCAUAACUCUUGUUGAUAUUUUGAAGGGAAACAAGACUAUGUAAAUGAUUAAGUUGAAAAGGAUGACGAUGAUGGGCUAACUUGGGGAGGUUGUUGAUGUUGUGGUAUUGGGGAAUGUAUUAUAUUUCUUUUGUAUUGUGUGUUGGGACAGGUUGGAUAGGUCUUGAAAGGUCAUCGUAUUUUUUUUUUUUUUUUUUU
Cornus florida is the source of this 576-nucleotide long non-coding RNA. RefSeq lists it as uncharacterized. The record is from RefSeq and is a predicted model, not a curated record. Lineage: Eukaryota; Viridiplantae; Streptophyta; Magnoliopsida; Cornales; Cornaceae. The transcript has 2 exons.